GACGAACGCUGGCGGCGUGCUUAACACAUGCAAGUCGAACGGAAAGGCCCUGCUUUUGUGGGGUGCUCGAGUGGCGAACGGGUGAGUAACACGUGAGUAACCUGCCCUUGACUUUGGGAUAACUUCAGGAAACUGGGGCUAAUACCGGAUAGGAGCUCCUGCUGCAUGGUGGGGGUUGGAAAGUUUCGGCGGUUGGGGAUGGACUCGCGGCUUAUCAGCUUGUUGGUGGGGUAGGGGCUUACCAAGGCUUUGACGGGUAGCCGGCCUGAGAGGGUGACCGGCCACCUUGGGACUGAGAUACGGCCCAGACUCCUACGGGAGGCAGCAGUGGGGAAUCUUGCACAAUGGGCGGAAGCCUGAUGCAGCAACGCCGCGUGCGGGAUGACGGCCUUCGGGUUGUAAACCGCUUUCGCCUGUGACGAAGCGUGAGUGACGGUAAUGGGUAAAGAAGCACCGGCUAACUACGUG
Molecule: ribosomal RNA, 468 nt
Filed under: uncultured bacterium
Lineage: Bacteria
Description: partial 16S ribosomal RNA
Rfam family: Bacterial small subunit ribosomal RNA
Source: RNAcentral